CAGGCCUAACACAUGCAAGUCGAACGAGGCAGCGGCCUUCGGGCCGUUGUCGAGUGGCGAACGGGUGAGUAACACGUGAGGAACCUGCCCCGGAGACCGGGAUAACCAGGGGAAACUCUGGCUAAUACCGGAUGCCCCCGGAUGGUCGCAUGGCCAACCGAGGAAAUGCUCCGGUGCUCCGGGAGGGCCUCGCGGCCUAUCAGCUUGUUGGUGGGGUAACGGCCCACCAAGGCAUCGACGGGUAGCUGGUCUGAGAGGACGAUCAGCCACACUGGGACUGAGACACGGCCCAGACUCCUACGGGAGGCAGCAGUGGGGAAUAUUGCGCAAUGGGCGAAAGCCUGACGCAGCAACGCCGCGUGGGGGAUGACGGCCUUCGGGUUGUAAACCCCUUUCAGCAGGGACGAAAAUGACGGUACCUGCAGAAGAAGCCCCGGCCAACUACGUGCCAGCAGCCGCGGUAACACGUAGGGGGCAAGCGUUGUCCGGAUUUAUUGGGCGUAAAGAGCUCGUAGGCGGUUGCGUAAGUCGGAUGUGAAAACUCAGGGCUCAACCCGGAGACGCCAUCCGAUACUGCGCUGACUAGAGUCCGGUAGAGGAGCAUGGAAUUCCUGGUGUAGCGGUGGAAUGCGCAGAUAUCAGGAGGAACACCAGCGGCGAAGGCGGUGCUCUGGGCCGGUACUGACGCUGAGGAGCGAAAGCGUGGGUAGCGAACAGGAUUAGAUACCC
RNAcentral lists this ribosomal RNA (729 nucleotides) under uncultured bacterium. RNAcentral describes it as "bacterial SSU rRNA". It matches the Rfam family "Bacterial small subunit ribosomal RNA", at positions 43 to 787 of the family's 1533-position model. The record is from RNAcentral.